AGGAUUAUAGUUUAUAACUAAAACUUUUGAUUUGCAUUCAAAUAAUAUUGAAUUUUUCAAUUUAUCUUA
Molecule: transfer RNA, 69 nt
Filed under: Andraca trilochoides
Lineage: Eukaryota; Metazoa; Arthropoda; Insecta; Lepidoptera; Endromidae
Description: tRNA-Ala
Source: RNAcentral